GAUGAACGCUAGCUACAGGCUUAACACAUGCAAGUCGCGGGGCAUCAUGGAGGUUGCUUGCAAUUUCUGAUGGCGACCGGCGCACGGGUGAGUAACGCGUAUCCAACCUUCCCAUUACUACGGCAUACCCCGUUGAAAGGCGGCCUAAUUCCGUAUGCAGUCCGAAGCAGUCAUCUAAUUUGGACGAAAGGUAUAUUCUAUCGGUAAUGGAUGGGGAUGCGUCCGAUUAGCCAGCCGGCGGGGUAACGGCCCACCGGGGCAUUGAUCGGUAGGGGUUCUGAGAGGAAGGUCCCCCACACUGGAACUGAGACACGGUCCAGACUCCUACGGGAGGCAGCAGUGAGGAAUAUUGGUCAAUGGGCGUAAGCCUGAACCAGCCAAGUAGCGUGCAGGAUGACGGCCCUAUGGGUUGUAAACUGCUUUUAUGCGGGGAUAAAGUUGGGGACGUGUCCCUUUUUGCAGGUACCGCAUGAAUAAGGACCGGCUAAUUCCGUGCCAGCAGCCGCGGUAAUACGGAAGGUCCGGGCGUUAUCCGGAUUUAUUGGGUUUAAAGGGAGCGUAGGCAGUUUUUUAAGCGUGCUGUGAAAUGUACCGGCUCAACCGGUGAUGUGCAGCGCGAACUGGGAAUCUUGAGUGCGCAGUAAGCAGGCGGAAUUCGUGGUGUAGCGGUGAAAUGCUUAGAUAUCACGAAGAACUCCGAUUGCGUAGGCAGCUUGCUGUAGCGUAACUGACGCUGAAGCUCGAAAGUGCGGGUAUCGAACAGG
This 764-nucleotide ribosomal RNA is filed under the name uncultured Prevotella sp. RNAcentral describes it as "bacterial SSU rRNA". It matches the Rfam family "Bacterial small subunit ribosomal RNA", at positions 28 to 776 of the family's 1533-position model. The record is from RNAcentral. Lineage: Bacteria; Pseudomonadati; Bacteroidota; Bacteroidia; Bacteroidales; Prevotellaceae.